Molecule: ribosomal RNA, 158 nt
Filed under: uncultured fungus
Lineage: Eukaryota; Fungi
Description: 5.8S ribosomal RNA
Rfam family: 5.8S ribosomal RNA
About the family: 5.8S ribosomal RNA (5.8S rRNA) is a component of the large subunit of the eukaryotic ribosome.
Source: RNAcentral
CAACUUUCAGCAACGGAUCUCUUGGCUCUCGCAUCGAUGAAGAACGCAGCGAAAUGCGAUAAGUAAUGUGAAUUGCAGAAUUCAGUGAAUCAUCGAAUCUUUGAACGCACCUUGCGCUCCUAGGUAUUCCGAGGAGCAUGCCUGUUUGAGUGUCAUGA